This 253-nucleotide ribosomal RNA is filed under the name uncultured bacterium. RNAcentral describes it as "partial 16S ribosomal RNA". It matches the Rfam family "Bacterial small subunit ribosomal RNA", at positions 524 to 776 of the family's 1533-position model. The record is from RNAcentral.
UACGUAUGGUGCAAGCGUUAUCCGGAAUGACUGGGUGUAAAGGGAGCGUAGACGGUUGUACAAGUCUGAUGUGAAAGCCCACGGCUCAACUGUGGGAGUGCAUUGGAAACUGUAGAACUAGAGUAUCGGAGAGGCAAGUGGAAUUCCUAGUGUAGCGGUGAAAUGCGUAGAUAUUAGGAGGAACACCGGUGGCGAAGGCGGCUUGCUGGACGAAAACUGACGUUGAGGCUCGAAAGCGUGGGGAGCAAACAGG